RNAcentral lists this ribosomal RNA (429 nucleotides) under Actinomycetes bacterium. RNAcentral describes it as "Actinobacteria bacterium partial 16S ribosomal RNA". It matches the Rfam family "Bacterial small subunit ribosomal RNA", at positions 355 to 776 of the family's 1533-position model. Lineage: Bacteria; Bacillati; Actinomycetota; Actinomycetes. The record is from RNAcentral.
UAGGGAAUCUUCCGCAAUGGGCGAAAGCUUGACGGAGCAACGCCGCGUGAGUGAUGAAGGUCUUCGGAUCGUAAAACUCUGUUAUUAGGGAAGAACAAAUGUGUAAGUAACUAUGCACGUCUUGACGGUACCUAAUCAGAAAGCCACGGCUAACUACGUGCCAGCAGCCGCGGUAAUACGUUGGUGGCAAGCGUUAUCCGGAAUUAUUGGGCGUAAAGCGCGCGUAGGCGGUUUUUUAAGUCUGAUGUGAAAGCCCACGGCUCAACCGUGGAGGGUCAUUGGAAACUGGAAAACUUGAGUGCAGAAGAGGAAAGUGGAAUUCCAUGUGUAGCGGUGAAAUGCGCAGAGAUAUGGAGGAACACCAGUGGCGAAGGCGACUUUCUGGUCUGUAACUGACGCUGAUGUGCGAAAGCGUGGGGAUCAAACAGG